UUAUUUUAUAUUUCAAUUUAUAGUAAACUAUCAUUUGCCUCCCUGUGGUGGUUUGCCUUAAAUUGCACUUUGCCUCUCUAUCCUCUUUUGCAGUAUAGCUCCCUGUGGUUGCAUUUCAUCACGCUUUGCCAACGUCAGUUGACCGUUACUUGACUGUUAGUGUGAGGGCUAGGAUGGUAAUUUCACAUAUCAAUCUUGUUGAAGACUUUUGAUACCUCCCUUAUCAAGUUAUCAUCAUAUCAUUUCAGUCUGACACCCAAACUUUACUCUCCUUUAACAAUCCACCACAUACACUCCAGUCAACAUCACGCAUCGUCGGCAACGAAGCUGUUGUUGCCGCCGAUCAUGGAGUUUAGUCUGGAGGUCCAAAAUGAAUCAGUACAUGGUAAAUUUACUUAUCGAUUUCGUUAAUGGUACUUGCUGGAGCAGGGUCAAUGAGACUCAAAACCAGCGCACCGUGGUCCGAGUGACGGUGGUUCUCUGAUGGUUGAACAACCUAGCCUUCUCCGGUUCGCCCUGUCAUUACCACAACAAUCACUACCCCCAUAACCACAGAGCAGUAGCAAUGCCCUCACUACCUUCUCCGGUUCGCCAUCACCACAACAAAGCAAUGCCAUCACCACCCGCCUUUACCAAGACUAGUAUAAGACUAGUAUGGUUAUUUUGAUAGGUGUAAUUAUUACUUUAAGUUAGUUAUGUUAGUUUUUGGAAAAAUUAAAAAAAGUCUUUCUAUAUCAUUUUCUGUAAUUAUGGUAUGAAUAUGUUGAAUGGUUUGAAUAUGUAUAAUUAUGGUUCAUAUUGUGUUAAUUUGGUUAAUCUCUACUAAACAAGUUCAUUUUAUUGGUUAAUUGUGUGUUCAUUGUGUUAAAUAAACAACAUUGUAGAGUAGUUGCAUUUGUUGGUUAAUUGUUUUAAUAAAGUGGCAAUAAGUGUAGUUGAAUGCAGGCUGAGGUUUGAUGUUGUUGAUAUAGGUUUGAUGUUCACAGGGGUUCGCAGGGUUUGAUGUUCACAAGGGUUCACAUGGUAGGUUUGAUGUUCACAUGGGUUCACAGGGUAGGGGGGUUCAAAAAUUACCUAAUCAAUUUAGUGAUCAAAUCAGUUAGUGGGGUAGUGUGCUAAUCUGUGGGUUUAAAAUAUGUAGUUUAAAUAAUGUAUGUGAAACUAAGAGAUAGAAAUGUAAAGUCAAAUAUCAGAAUGUUAUUUAGGAUGUUAGGAUAUUGCUCAGAAUAUCAGGAUAUGAGAAUAAAGGAAAAGCAAUAGACAAUACUCGAUGUUACGAGGAAAACCCUUGAUCUAUUGAAAUCGUCGACAUAACACCUCGGGCGCCGACUGAAAAUUCGUAUGUCACAGUCUUUACUAUUAAAUAUAUACAAAGAUUACAACUAGAGAACUAUUCUGAUCGAUAAUACAAUGAUUGCUAGUGUAAGUGCUUGUGAAUGUGACUUUGCAAGUGAGUUGCAAGAGCUAGUAUUAGUAAUAGCCGAAGUAAGAGUGUAAUGAAGUGUGUAACGUGCCUGACCUAUUAGAUUAGCCUCAUUAUAUAGUUCAAAAAUCUAACUAAACAUCUCGAAAUUUCUGGGAUACACCAACUAUUCCAUUGUGAACGUUUGAGACUUCUUCAACUAUGUCCCACAAUCGUUCUUUAACCAUACGUCCGGGUCUUUAGCUUAACUUAGUCAUUUUUAUUUAUUCCCUGCAAUAAUUAAAAAAACACGUGCAAGAAAUAAAUUAGUGAAAUAUAAGAAAUAGGUUCAGGAUAUCAAAUCUAUCAGCUAUGUCGGGAUGUCAGCCUUAGUUUAGAAUAUUAACUAAAGAUUCUGUGACAUCCGGGAUUUCAGGUUAACUACAUUAACACAACUUCGUUAUCUUUAACGCUAUCACAAAAAUUCAUUAUUACAUUACACUUGAUUAGGGUUAAUUAUGUGUGUCGGUUAGUACACGAAUACCCACAUAAUGGUAAUUCGGUGAAUUAACCGAAUUAUCAAACCGCACAUGAGCCUGUCCCCGUACGUUGGUGAUUAAGUGAAAUAAUAAUUCUGGAAAAGUUAAAUGAAUAUAUUAUUUGAAUUUAUAUGCUUUUCGGUAUCUACGUGUAUUGUGUGUAAUUUAAGUCAACUUUCAUGAAAUCGUGUGCUUUUACGUGUAAUUGCUUGGUUUCGUGUUUUACUAUAAUUUGUCAUAUUUAGAAAAAUUAAACUUGGGGAAUUUUAUUUAAUAAUACAUAUUAUUAGAAAACAGGCUAAGGGGAUCCAAAAAGCUCAUUACUAGAACCCAUGGACUCCCCUUAUUACUAAAGU
RNAcentral lists this long non-coding RNA (2297 nucleotides) under Helianthus annuus (common sunflower). Its description in RNAcentral is "hypothetical non coding rna". Lineage: Eukaryota; Viridiplantae; Streptophyta; Magnoliopsida; Asterales; Asteraceae. The record is from RNAcentral.